UGAAUUACACAUGAAGAGAAGUGACUGAACCUUCCACUUCUUGUUUCCAAAGAAGAAAUCUUCAACUCAUUUGUUUCCGAAAUACCGUAAUAUCGAUCUUCCAAUGCCAAACAUCAGCACACUACAUUGAAGAUUGAAAAUUUAUUAACUUUUUGCACUUCUCGGUCAACAAGCUGGUGCUUCGCCUAAUGGUCAAAAUUUUCAAAUAUAUGUUCUUCUUCCCAAGUGAGCAUUACUUUCCAUAUGCGGUUGUUGUAAAUCUAUUUGUUGAUCCAAUAAGUGCUUUUUGAACAAUGGGUUGAUGGGGUUGGAAAAUUAGGUUUAAUUCAUGGCAAUGGAGUUAUUGUACCUUAACGAGUGAGGAAGGAAAAUGAUGGUUAGGAUUAAAAUACAAGUUUGUCUAAGAAAGUUGACAUUUCGGUCACCUAUAAAAGAACAACUCUUAUGUAAUCUCAGUUUUAAAAUUGCUUAUAUAAUGACUUGUUAAAUAUCUAUUUUAAGUUGUUUAUGUAAUGACUCUUAUGUAAUAGAAUGCGAUUUGUAAAGUAAUG
This 551-nucleotide long non-coding RNA is filed under the name Cicer arietinum (chickpea). RNAcentral's name for it is "long non-coding RNA (CARI_LNC001806)". The record is from RNAcentral. Lineage: Eukaryota; Viridiplantae; Streptophyta; Magnoliopsida; Fabales; Fabaceae.